UACGGGGGGGGCAAGCGUUGUUCGGAAUUACUGGGCGUAAAGGGCUUGUAGGUGGCCAACUAAGUCAGACGUGAAAUCCCUCGGCUUAACCGGGGAACUGCGUCUGAUACUGGAUGGCUUGAGUUUGGGAGAGGGAUGCGGAAUUCCAGGUGUAGCGGUGAAAUGCGUAGAUAUCGAGAGGAACACCUGCGGCGAAGGCGGGUUGCUGGGCCGACACUGACGCUGAUGCGCGAAAGCCAGGGGAGCGAACGGG
Molecule: ribosomal RNA, 253 nt
Filed under: uncultured bacterium
Lineage: Bacteria
Description: partial 16S ribosomal RNA
Rfam family: Bacterial small subunit ribosomal RNA
Source: RNAcentral